GGACGAACGCUGGCGGCGUGCUUAACACAUGCAAGUCGAACGGAAAGGCCCUGCUUUUGUGGGGUGCUCGAGUGGCGAACGGGUGAGUAACACGUGAGUAACCUGCCCUUGACUUUGGGAUAACUUCAGGAAACUGGGGCUAAUACCGGAUAGGAGCUCCUGCUGCAUGGUGGGGGUUGGAAAGUUUCGGCGGUUGGGGAUGGACUCGCGGCUUAUCAGCUUGUUGGUGGGGUAGUGGCUUACCAAGGCUUUGACGGGUAGCCGGCCUGAGAGGGUGACCGGCCACAUUGGGACUGAGAUACGGCCCAGACUCCUACGGGAGGCAGCAGUGGGGAAUAUUGCACAAUGGGCGGAAGCCUGAUGCAGCAACGCCGCGUGCGGGAUGACGGCCUUCGGGUUGUAAACCGCUUUCGCCUGUGACGAAGCGUGAGUGACGGUAAUGGGUAAAGAAGCACCGGCUAACUACGUGCCAGCAGCCGCGGUGAUACGUAGGGUGCGAGCGUUGUCCGGAUUUAUUGGGCGUAAAGGGCUCGUAGGUGGUUGAUCGCGUCGGAAGUGUAAUCUUGGGGCUUAACCCUGAGCGUGCUUUCGAUACGGGUUGACUUGAGGAAGGUAGGGGAGAAUGGAAUUCCUGGUGGAGCGGUGGAAUGCGCAGAUAUCAGGAGGAACACCAGUGGCGAAGGCGGUUCUCUGGGCCUUUCCUGACGCUGAGGAGCGAAAGCGUGGGGAGCGAACAGGCUUAGAUACCCUGGUAGUCCACGCUGUAAACGGUGGGUACUAGGUGUGGGGUCCAUUCCACGGGUUCCGUGCCGUAGCUAACGCUUUAAGUACCCCGCCUGGGGAGUACGGCCGCAAGGCUAAAACUCAAAGGAAUUGACGGGGCCCCGCACAAGCGGCGGAGCAUGCGGAUUAAUUCGAUGCAACGCGUAGAACCUUACCUGGGUUUGACAUGGAUCGGGAGUGCUCAGAGAUGGGUGUGCCUCUUUUGGGGUCGGUUCACAGGUGGUGCAUGGCUGUCGUCAGCUCGUGUCGUGAGAUGUUGGGUUAAGUCCCGCAACGAGCGCAACCCUUGUUCACUGUUGCCAGCACGUUAUGGUGGGGACUCAGUGGAGACCGCCGGGGUCAACUCGGAGGAAGGUGGGGAUGACGUCAAGUCAUCAUGCCCCUUAUGUCCAGGGCUUCACGCAUGCUACAAUGGCUGGUACAGAGAGUGGCGAGCCUGUGAGGGUGAGCGAAUCUCGGAAAGCCGGUCUCAGUUCGGAUUGGGGUCUGCAACUCGACCUCAUGAAGUCGGAGUCGCUAGUAAUCGCAGAUCAGCAACGCUGCGGUGAAUACGUUCCCGGGGCUUGUACACACCGCCCGUCAAGUCAUGAAAGUUGGUAACACCCGAAGCCGGUGGCCUAACCGUUGUGGGGGAGCCGUCGAAGGUGGGAC
RNAcentral lists this ribosomal RNA (1434 nucleotides) under uncultured organism. Its description in RNAcentral is "16S ribosomal RNA". It matches the Rfam family "Bacterial small subunit ribosomal RNA". The record is from RNAcentral.